This is a long non-coding RNA of Gossypium raimondii (Peruvian cotton), 516 nucleotides long. RefSeq lists it as uncharacterized. NCBI's taxonomy places the organism in Eukaryota, Viridiplantae, Streptophyta, Magnoliopsida, Malvales, Malvaceae. The record is from RefSeq and is a predicted model, not a curated record. The transcript has 2 exons.
UUUUGAAAACCAUAAAAACAUGAAGGGCAUAAAUUAUAAAUAACUCAUCAACUUAAAACCAAAUAAAAUCCCCCUUUUUAAACCCUAAAACUCAUUUUCUUUCUUUCUUUGAUACUGCCGUCUUGCUCUCCCUCUGAAAAACUCUUUCCCUGCUCCAAUGGCGACGAAAUAAAGGAGCUUCAACGACGCCACGCCGAACGAACGUGCAUAGUAGACGCAAGGGAUCGUUGAUCGUGGGUGAUUGCGUCGUGGGGUGAUGGAACCGUUGCUGAACGUGGGCAAGGUGCGACGUGGGGCGAUGGGCAGUUGCUGCGGUGGCUGAGAUGCUGCUAACUGCUAGGGUUGCUACUAUCCUUUGAAAAUUUUUACUUUGGGCCACACUGUAAUUGGGCUAAGAUUUAGGGUCAAUGAUUUGGAUUUAAUUGAUUUUUAAUCAGGCCAAAAUUGGCCUAUUACAAUUAUUAUUAAAUAUAAUUUAAUAAAAAUAUAUAAUUUAAUAAAAUUCUUAAUAUUAAA